UUCUCUCCAUGGGAAUGUCUUUUUGAGGAAAAGUUCACACCUCAGUAUGGAUAUGUGACAUCACAUGCAAGAAACUAGAUGAGUUGUUGCAUGAGUAAGACUUUGCCACCUUAUCUAGGUUUUGAAGUAUCAAAAGUACUAGGAAUUUUGGAAAAACAUUUGAGAUAUCCAAAGAUACAUUGACUGAGAUCAGAUUAAAGGACACUCAGGACAAUGCAGAGCCAUAUAUCAAUUAUGAUGGUAUUCCAUUCCUAAUUAUGGGGAAGAAAACAAUGGAAUGUCAUCAGGGUUUUGACAGAGACAUCUGACCAUACCUUUCACAAGAAACGCAGACUUGUUCAAAUCAGCAAGAAGAAAAAGUGCCCAGUCAGAAUUAAAAUUCGACAUGUAUUGAAGUUUUUAGAUUACAAGGCUUCAACUAUUUUACAACCUAUGGACAAGCGUUUGGCAGAGUACAUCAAGCAGGUUGUGAAUGAAUUUGGCGUAACCAGCACUUUAAGAAUGAGAUUGCUUCUGGAAGUUUUUCUGAAGCAGUCUAUAUUUAAAGAUUCUCCGUUGCCACCAAAACAU
Molecule: long non-coding RNA, 570 nt
Organism: Ostrea edulis (European flat oyster)
Lineage: Eukaryota; Metazoa; Mollusca; Bivalvia; Ostreida; Ostreidae
Exons: 4
Source: RefSeq, a predicted model, not a curated record